Lagenorhynchus albirostris (white-beaked dolphin) is the source of this 2205-nucleotide RNA transcript. It is a transcript of the gene named sec1 family domain containing 1, with no coding region annotated. The transcript has 25 exons. The record is from RefSeq and is a predicted model, not a curated record. NCBI's taxonomy places the organism in Eukaryota, Metazoa, Chordata, Mammalia, Artiodactyla, Delphinidae.
CCGGGCAGUGUAUGGUGGGAGCCAAGAUGGCGGCGGCCGCAGCAGCCAGUAUUCGAGAGAGACAAACAGUGGCUUUGAAACGUAUGUUGAAUUUUAAUGUGCCUCAUAUUAAAAACAGCACUGGAGAACCAGUAUGGAAGGUGCUCAUUUAUGACAGAUUUGGCCAAGAUAUCAUCUCUCCUCUGCUAUCUGUGAAGGAGCUGAGAGACAUGGGAAUCACUCUGCAUCUGCUUUUGCACUCUGAUCGAGAUCCUAUUCCAGAUGUUCCUGCAGUGUACUUCGUAAUGCCAACUGAAGAAAAUAUUGACAGAAUGUGUCAGGAUCUUCGAAAUCAACUCUAUGAAUCAUAUUAUUUAAAUUUUAUUUCUGCUAUUUCAAGAAGUAAACUGGAAGAUAUUGCAAAUGCAGCAUUAGCAGCUAGUGCAGUAACACAAGUAGCCAAGGUUUUCGAUCAGUAUCUCAAUUUUAUUACUUUGGAAGAUGAUAUGUUUGUAUUAUGUAAUCAAAAUAAGGAGCUUGUUUCAUAUCGUGCCAUUAACAGACCAGAUAUCACAGACACAGAAAUGGAAACUGUUAUGGACACUAUUGUUGACAGCCUCUUUUGCUUUUUUGUUACACUGGGUGCUGUCCCUAUAAUCAGAUGUUCAAGAGGAACAGCAGCAGAAAUGGUAGCAGUGAAACUAGAUAAGAAACUUCGGGAAAAUCUGAGAGAUGCAAGAAACAGUCUUUUUACAGGUGACACACUUGGAGCUGGCCAGUUCAGCUUCCAAAGGCCUUUAUUAGUCCUUGUUGACAGAAACAUAGAUUUGGCAACUCCUUUACACCAUACUUGGACAUAUCAAGCCUUGGUGCAUGAUGUACUGGAUUUCCACUUGAACAGAGUUAAUUUGGAAGAGUCUUCAGGAGUGGAGAAUUCCCCAGCUGGUGCUAGACCAAAGAGAAAAAACAAGAAGUCUUAUGAUUUAACUCCAGUUGAUAAAUUUUGGCAGAAACAUAAAGGAAGUCCAUUCCCAGAAGUUGCAGAAUCAGUUCAACAAGAACUAGAGUCUUACAGAGCACAGGAAGAUGAGGUUAAACGACUUAAAAGCAUUAUGGGACUAGAAGGGGAAGAUGAAGGAGCCAUAAGUAUGCUGUCUGACAAUACUGCUAAGUUAACAUCAGCCGUUAGUUCUUUGCCAGAACUCCUUGAAAAAAAAAGACUUAUUGAUCUCCAUACAAAUGUUGCCACUGCUGUUUUAGAACAUAUAAAGGCAAGAAAAUUGGAUGUAUAUUUUGAAUAUGAAGAAAAAAUAAUGAGCAAAACUACUCUGGAUAAAUCGCUUCUAGAUAUAAUAUCAGACCCUGAUGCAGGAACUCCAGAAGAUAAAAUGAGGCUGUUUCUUAUCUAUUACAUAAGUGCACAGCAAGCACCUUCUGAGGCUGAUUUGGAGCAAUACAAAAAAGCUUUAACUGAUGCUGGAUGCAACCUUAAUCCCUUGCAAUAUAUCAAACAGUGGAAGGCUUUUGCCAAGAUGGCUUCAGCUCCUACCAGCUAUGGCAACACUACCACUAAACCAAUGGGUCUCUUAUCACGAGUCAUGAAUACAGGAUCACAAUUUGUGAUGGAAGGAGUGAAGAACCUGGUAUUGAAACAGCAAAAUCUACCUGUUACUCGUAUUUUAGACAAUCUCAUGGAGAUGAAGUCAAACCCUGAAACUGAUGACUAUAGAUAUUUUGAUCCCAAAAUGCUGCGGGGCAAUGACAGAAACACUACCAAAGUUACAAAAGAAGCUGCUGGUAGCAACUGCAGCUGGCAAGAAAGAAUUUGACAAAGAAUAAAUUAUAGAAGGGAGAGAAUGAGGAGUGACAACUAAUGGACACUGAGAUAUGUACUUCAUCUAGCUGUUCCUCUGAAUCCCACUUCACUACCUGGCUCAAAGAAGGUGAAGGAAGAAGAAUUGUAAAUACAUAGCUAAUAGUGUGUGCGUGUGUCUGUGUGUUUCCCAUGCCUAUUUUAUCCUUAAGUGAAGCUUUGGGUGAAAUUUUCGUGUGUGUUUUUUGUUGUUGUUCUUACAGCUCAGUUCCAAGGAACAAAAAUCCAUUUCAAGAGGCAAUUGUUUUUGUGGUGGGAGGAGGCAACUACAUUGAAUAUCAAAAUCUUGUUGACUACAUAAAGGGGAAACAAGGCAAGCACAUCUUAUAUGGCUGCAGUGAACUUUUUAAUGC